CCCAGACUCCUACGGGAGGCAGCAGUGGGGGAUAUUGCACAAUGGGGGAAACCCUGAUGCAGCGACGCCGCGUGAGUGAAGAAGUAUUUCGGUAUGUAAAGCUCUAUCAGCAGGGAAGAAAAAAGACGGUACCUGACUAAGAAGCCCCGGCUAACUACGUGCCAGCAGCCGCGGUAAUACGUAGGGGGCAAGCGUUAUCCGGAUUUACUGGGUGUAAAGGGAGCGUAGACGGCGAUGCAAGCCAGAUGUGAAAGCCCGGGGCUCAACCCCGGGACUGCAUUUGGAACUGUGUGGCUGGAGUGUCGGAGAGGCAGGCGGAAUUCCUAGUGUAGCGGUGAAAUGCGUAGAUAUUAGGAGGAACACCAGUGGCGAAGGCGGCCUGCUGGACGAUGACUGACGUUGAGGCUCGAAAGCGUGGGGAGCAAACAGGAUUAGAUACCCGAGUAU
Molecule: ribosomal RNA, 447 nt
Filed under: uncultured bacterium
Lineage: Bacteria
Description: bacterial SSU rRNA
Rfam family: Bacterial small subunit ribosomal RNA
Source: RNAcentral